Molecule: ribosomal RNA, 354 nt
Filed under: bacterium LimC-100-J-136
Lineage: Bacteria
Description: bacterial SSU rRNA
Rfam family: Bacterial small subunit ribosomal RNA
Source: RNAcentral
GGUCUGAGAGGAUGAUCAGUCACACUGGAACUGAGACACGGUCCAGACUCCUACGGGAGGCAGCAGUGGGGAAUAUUGGACAAUGGGCGAAAGCCUGAUCCAGCCAUGCCGCGUGUGUGAAGAAGGUCUUCGGAUUGUAAAGCACUUUAAGUUGGGAGGAAGGGCAGUAAGUUAAUACCUUGCUGUUUUGACGUUACCAACAGAAUAAGCACCGGCUAACUUCGUGCCAGCAGCCGCGGUAAUACGAAGGGUGCAAGCGUUAAUCGGAAUUACUGGGCGUAAAGCGCGCGUAGGUGGUUCGUUAAGUUGGAUGUGAAAGCCCCGGGCUCAACCUGGGAACUGCAUCCAAAACUG